UCAACACUCCUCUUUAGUCAACACCCAAAACACUAUUCACUUCGGGCAGUUUGAAAUCUGAUAUCUUUCGUCGGAGCUCCCUGAAUAUCCGUUUGAGCUCAAAUUUGACAGUCAUGUUUGGUUUACUUAACGAGUCCAAAAAAAUUUUAAUAUUUCAGUUUCGACCCCGUUUGGUCACCGAAAACUAUACCGAACUGUAAUCUUUAUCAGAUAGCUGUCGGAUUUUAUUUUCCACCUUCCGGGUAUCAGAAUGAUAUGAAACUUUAAAUGUAGCCUCAUAAAAAUAAUUCUGACUUAUCCUCCAGUUUUCAUAAUUUUCUGACACUGUGCAUUUUCUGCUAAUUUAUCUGUCCCGUUUCAAACAAAAAAUUCUAAAUCUUCUGUUUUCAUUCUGAUUUCAGCACAUGUCACUUCUGACUUAUAUUUUACUUCUCUAAAUCCAAUAAAAAUAGUUUCCCACACUAUUUUUAUUUUUAUACCAAAAUCUAGUAUGUUACACUGCCACAAUCU
Molecule: long non-coding RNA, 510 nt
Filed under: Ananas comosus (pineapple)
Lineage: Eukaryota; Viridiplantae; Streptophyta; Magnoliopsida; Poales; Bromeliaceae
Description: long non-coding RNA (ACOM_LNC023288)
Source: RNAcentral